This 1670-nucleotide long non-coding RNA is filed under the name Sorghum bicolor (sorghum). Its description in RNAcentral is "long non-coding RNA (SBIC_LNC004738)". The record is from RNAcentral. Lineage: Eukaryota; Viridiplantae; Streptophyta; Magnoliopsida; Poales; Poaceae.
CUGUGAUCAUUGGCUUAUCGAUAGAGCCAACCAUGACUACACAGGAUGGUCAAAUAACUGCAAACUGCUUCUUCUCACCAUUGCAGGUGACCACAUUCACAUUAGGAUCAUUCUGUUGGCAUCUCUUACGCUGCACAUGCUGGGUUGUCAUCCCUAACAUGACAUAAGAAAUGUGGUUGUACUUAUGGUCAUGGCACUUAUAAAAUAUGAAAUAAAAGUUACAGGUAUCGUUGUAGCAUUUCACCUAGGAAAGUUUUAGGUAUCGUUAUUUAUAAUUCUACCACUAGGAGCUUCUGAACAGGGUUAAAGAGAAAAUUGAUAUGGCUAUAAGAAUUACAAAUACAUACUCUAGAUAUGAAUCAAUUAACCACUUCUAUCUUAAAUAGGGAUAAGGCAAAUGAUAAUGAGAUAAUGAUAAGGAAUCCAUAAUUAGAGAGAACUUGUAGGAUCAAGUAGGAUACAGAAUAAAGCGACAUAGUUAGAGAUUUAAUUCCUAGGGUUAUGUCCUAUCUAGCAUGUCUUAGGGUUUUCAAAUCUACUCCUUAUCAUCUAUAGCAUAAUCAAUCUUCCAUCCAAACAUAACGAACAUUACUUUAGAAAAUUCAAGAAUAGAGCAAUUCUUCCCCCCAAGUAACCGAGUUCUACUUGUCCUAGAUUCGAGGAGUGGACUACAUAGGACUCAACAAAACUAUAAAAGUCACCAUCGCAAUUUACCACAUGGCCAGGAAAAUAGGGUGCAUUCGUAGGUAAAUAUAAUAUAGAUACCAUGUCUACAUUACUUCUAUCACCUAAUUCAAUCCGAAGUUUAACUAAGUGCUCUACGAACUUUUGCAUAAACUUCUUAUCAAUCAAGACUAUAUCAAAGAUAGGACUAGAAUAAACUAAGAACGAAGUAAAUAGGUACAUAAAAUAAUACUGAAAUAGCACAAAGUCAUAAUUAUAAGAUAUAGUGAUAGAAUUACCAAAUCUCCUGACGUAGAUCUAGAAUCUUAAGCCGCACUCAACUCUACUUGUAUCUAGCUAGAUCUAACCCUAAACUUAAAGUAGAGCUCUAAUCUUAUAAUUAGAAACCCUAGCUUUUCUCUCUAGCCUUCUGAACGAGAGAUCAACUGAGGAUGAGAUGAUUGAUGCCUUAGGGGGGUCUGCCUCUGCUUAUAUACCCCGGUGGGAUGAACUGCAGCCUUCAGAUCAAACUGACUUGAAACAAUGGUCGAGAUGCAUCGUAGAGAUCAGUUAGAGGUCAUCAUGCCAAGCUGGCUAGACUAUCAUGUGGGGCCGGCUUGCCCCACCUGAUAGCCAUUGAGCUCCCGUUUUGUUCUCAUGUCCAUUCGUGUCCUCUAAAAUCUUCCCAUCAAUUCUUGCAAAAUUAUGACUUCAUUUGGUUUGGUUCCUUGGCUUCUACUCUUCCCUGGCUUAUUUUGUUUUUAUCCUUGAAAAUUUGCAAUUCACCAAAGUUGUGGAAAUUAUCAUGUUAGUCCUUAAAACUCUUGCUUGGUGAUGGUUCCGGAGUAAUCUAGAGGAUUCUUGUGCGUAUCCAUUAGGGACACUCUCAUCGAGACUCCAAAUAUAGCAAAUGAUGUCUGUUUUGAUCGUCUUAAUGAGCUCUUCACAAUGGUGUGCUCUAUUUCAUCAUUUGAGAUACUUUUAUGUGGUGAAGUAUCAAUAAUCCU